This 254-nucleotide ribosomal RNA is filed under the name uncultured bacterium. Its description in RNAcentral is "partial 16S ribosomal RNA". It matches the Rfam family "Bacterial small subunit ribosomal RNA", at positions 524 to 777 of the family's 1533-position model. The record is from RNAcentral.
UACGUAGGGGGCAAGCGUUGUCCGGAUUUAUUGGGCGUAAAGAGCGUGUAGGCGGCCGUACAGGUCAGCUGUGAAAACUCGAGGCUCAACCUCGAGACGUCGGUUGAAACCGUACGGCUAGAGUCCGGAAGAGGAGAGUGGAAUUCCCGGUGUAGCGGUGAAAUGCGCAGAUAUCGGGAGGAACACCAACGGCGAAGGCAGCUCUCUGGGACGUUACUGACGCUGAGACGCGAAAGCGUGGGGAGCAAACGGGG